Molecule: ribosomal RNA, 425 nt
Filed under: uncultured bacterium
Lineage: Bacteria
Description: bacterial SSU rRNA
Rfam family: Bacterial small subunit ribosomal RNA
Source: RNAcentral
GUGGGGAAUCUUGCGCAAUGGGCGAAAGCCUGACGCAGCCAUGCCGCGUGAAUGAUGAAGGUCUUAGGAUUGUAAAAUUCUUUCACCGGGGACGAUAAUGACGGUACCCGGAGAAGAAGCCCCGACUAACUUCGUGCCAGCAGCCGCGGUAAUACGAAGGGGGCUAGCGUUGCUCGGAAUUACUGGGCGUAAAGGGCGCGUAGGCGGACAGUUUAGUCAGAGGUGAAAGCCCAGGGCUCAACCUUGGAAUUGCCUUUGAUACUGGCUGUCUUGAGUACGGGAGAGGUGAGUGGAACUCCGAGUGUAGAGGUGAAAUUCGUAGAUAUUCGGAAGAACACCAGUGGCGAAGGCGACUCACUGGCCCGUUACUGACGCUGAGGCGCGAAAGCGUGGGGAGCAAACAGGAUUAGAAACCCUUGUAGUCC